AAGGUUUUCCUCUUGUGUAGAGGCACCAUUGUCCAUUUCAGACGGGAUGACCUCAGGGGACUGUGUCAGUGACCAGGAUGGGCUAGACAAGCUGUCAGUACAUUCACCUCCUGAGACACUGAUUCCCCUGGUGUGUUUUCUGUGGGUGAAUAUCGUGGUUUCCUGGACUUGCCAUAAGCAGUGCCAAGUGCAUCAGUCACAUCUUGGCUUCUUGUGCCCUGCAGGAGUGUCACAUGACUGCCGCCCCAUGUGUGUGAGAGGCGUCCUCUGGGAGAGCAUGGAUCCUGAGGUCCCAGGAUUGUCAGCUGACCUCUGUCCUGUGUGCCCAGUGGCCCCAGGUGACGUGUCUUCAAGAAGAGGCUGAGCUGCGGUGCUUGUAAGAUGGGUCUGCUGUGUGCAGAGGCUCCAUGGGAUGUGUUGUCUUCAUAGUAGCAGGGCGCUGGACCAUGGGUCCGCAAGGUCUCAGCCUUAGAUCCAAGGACAGUCCAAGGAAGUCCUAAGACCAUGGAGUUGGUGAUCUGGGAUCUGGGUUUGCUGAUAUUUCUCACCGUGAAUCUCUUGGUGGUGUUUGUGGGCACGAGAGGGGCAGAGAAUGGAGAGUGAGGCUACCACAUGAAGCGUCACCAGAGCUGCUCCCUGCUGCCUGCUCAGAGCACCCCGGAUCCACUGUUCAAUCUGCACAAGAUUCGGGGUCCAGACAUGGGAGACUUCAGCUGCCUCAGAGGACCGUGGACAGGGAAGGCCAGCCUCGCAUCCCUCUGUCCAUGCCUGGAAUGACUUUAAUAACCAAGAGUUUUAUUUUUGAAUUUGUAGCUGUCGUUCACUUUUUACCCACCCAUUCAAUAAACCUUACAGAAUUGCUCC
RNAcentral lists this long non-coding RNA (864 nucleotides) under Homo sapiens (human). RNAcentral describes it as "HSALNT0400927". Lineage: Eukaryota; Metazoa; Chordata; Mammalia; Primates; Hominidae. The record is from RNAcentral.